CCAGAAAACUCUUUUGGGCAAGAGGGAC
This 28-nucleotide non-coding RNA is filed under the name Rattus norvegicus (Norway rat). The record is from RNAcentral. Lineage: Eukaryota; Metazoa; Chordata; Mammalia; Rodentia; Muridae.